GAUGAAGAACGUAGCGAAAUGCGAUAAGUAAUGUGAAUUGCAGAAUUCAGUGAAUCUUCGAAUCUUUGAACGCACAUUGCGCCCCCUGGUAUUCCGGGGGGCAUGCCUGUCCGAGCGUCAUUACAACCCUCAAGCUCAGCUUGGUGUUGGGCCCCGCCGCCCCGGCGGGCCCUAAAGUCAGUGGCGGUGCCGUCCGGCUCCGAGCGUAGUAAUUCUUCUCGCUCUGGAGGUCCGGUCGUGUGCUCGCCAGCAACCCCCAAUUUUUUUCAGGUUGACCUCGGAUCAGGUAGGGAUACCCGCUGAACUUAAGCAUAUCAAUAAGCGGAGGA
RNAcentral lists this unclassified non-coding RNA (329 nucleotides) under soil metagenome. RNAcentral describes it as "partial contains 5.8S ribosomal RNA, internal transcribed spacer 2, and large subunit ribosomal RNA". The stretch from base 1 to 120 matches the Rfam family "5.8S ribosomal RNA", at positions 35 to 154 of the family's 154-position model. The record is from RNAcentral.